GGAGCAGGGCCGCCCGGGGAGCUGCGCUGCGCCUCUGCCCGGCCCUGCGCGGGGACUGCGCGAGUGAGGCGCUGCGGAGCCGCCCCCCUCUUUUCCCCCCUCUGGGGGCUCCCCGGCUCUUUCGUCCUUUGGGAAGUGGAGUAAACGCCCCACGGGCCAAUCAGAGCCGGCGCUGGGCCCUGACGUCGCGGGGUGACUCAUGCCAUUGGCUCGGGAGCGGGAGGGAGGGCACAGCCUUUUUUUUUUUCCUUCUCUUUCUUUCUAUUUUUUUUUUUUCCCGAGGCUUAUUUUGUUUGGGGUGUUCCCCCUCCCCCCGUCCCCUCCGAAAUGAAUUACGAGUUAAUGACACGGGCAGCGAGCGGAGCCGUGCCAUUAAGGAGCCGUCCAGGGCUAUAAUCAUACCGAAGCAAGAAAAGAGCCGCCGGGGUAAUUAAGGCUGAUGAUUAGGCGAAGAGGAAACUUUAGAAGAUCGCGGCACUGCCUCCUCUCGCCGCCGGCCCGGCCCCUCCCGGCCCCCUCUGUCCCCCGGCCGCGCCCCCGCCGCCCCGUCGGGUCUCGCCGCCCUCCCGGAGCGGGGGACUUCUCCGGGGUCACAUGGGGGGGGGGGGCGGCGGGGUGCUGAACCCUCACUCAGUGCAACACCCCCGCGGAAAAACGCGGGAGCCCAUUCUGCGCAUUUUUCAUCCUCAAAGGGGUUUCGGUUGUGUUUCUUCGGCAGCGGGACCCGAGUCGGGCAGAAAACACUCAGCAGAGUUAAACACAGGAGAAAGAAACCCCACGCGGCACCGAAUGCCGGGACGGCAGCCUCGCAAAGACGGAGGUUUGGUGACAUUUCUUGGAAUAGAGUCCUUCCCCCGACCCAAGAUUUCAGAGCGACCUCAAAUCAGCAGGGAUUUCACCCGUCCCGGGGAACCGACGCGCCAGGAGCGGGGAGAUGAAAGGGAAGCUCCUGGGGGAAGUGGCUGUGCAGUUUGACCGGCUCCAGCGGCAGCAGCAGCGACGGCCCGUCCCGGGCAGCUCCG
This 1022-nucleotide long non-coding RNA is filed under the name Numida meleagris (helmeted guineafowl). RNAcentral describes it as "lncRNA (ENSNMEG00000017952.1)". Lineage: Eukaryota; Metazoa; Chordata; Aves; Galliformes; Numididae. The record is from RNAcentral.